GAAAGAAUUGAUGUUACUCUACUGAGAAGAUGCCGACAUUACAUUAACCCACACGGAACUUGACAUUUCGUCGCGUCCAGAUGGAGCAUAUAUACCAGAAUUGUUGGACCAUUCGUGCAAUGGUCCAAUGGAAGGCACAAAUCAAAGAGAAUUCCAUGGGAAACAUAUACCUUCAAUGCAUACUACUGGAUCAGGAAGGGACAAAAAUGGAAGCCAUUGCGUUCAACAAUCAAGCUGUUCGUUUCAACACCAUUCUUCAAACCGGCAUGUCCUAUGAAUUCACUCGUGUAGGAUUUAACCCCACUGAAAUGGCAGUUGUACAUUUCUUGUAUCUAGACAUGGAGUUUAUCAUGACACUAGAUAGUAGGACUGUGGUUAUGAU
Hordeum vulgare subsp. vulgare (domesticated barley) is the source of this 382-nucleotide long non-coding RNA. RefSeq lists it as uncharacterized. The transcript has 3 exons. Lineage: Eukaryota; Viridiplantae; Streptophyta; Magnoliopsida; Poales; Poaceae. The record is from RefSeq and is a predicted model, not a curated record.